RNAcentral lists this ribosomal RNA (481 nucleotides) under uncultured bacterium. RNAcentral describes it as "partial 16S ribosomal RNA". It matches the Rfam family "Bacterial small subunit ribosomal RNA", at positions 28 to 507 of the family's 1533-position model. The record is from RNAcentral.
GAUGAACGCUGGCGGCGUGCUUAACACAUGCAAGUCGAACGAAGCACUUUAUUUGAUUUCCUUCGGGACUGAUUAUUUUGUGACUGAGUGGCGGACGGGUGAGUAACGCGUGGGUAACCUGCCUUGUACAGGGGGAUAACAGUUGGAAACGGCUGCUAAUACCGCAUAAGCGCACAGCAUCGCAUGAUGCAGUGUGAAAAACUCCGGUGGUAUAAGAUGGACCCGCGUUGGAUUAGCUAGUUGGUGAGGUAACGGCCCACCAAGGCGACGAUCCAUAGCCGACCUGGGAGGGUGACCGGCCACAUUGGGACUGAGACACGGCCCAAACUCCUACGGGAGGCAGCAGUGGGGAAUAUUGCACAAUGGGCGAAAGCCUGAUGCAGCGACGCCGCGUGAGCGAAGAAGUAUUUCGGUAUGUAAAGCUCUAUCAGCAGGGAAGAUAAUGACGGUACCUGACGAAGAAGCACCGGCUAAAUACGUG